This is a long non-coding RNA of Tympanuchus pallidicinctus (lesser prairie-chicken), 387 nucleotides long. RefSeq lists it as uncharacterized. The record is from RefSeq and is a predicted model, not a curated record. Lineage: Eukaryota; Metazoa; Chordata; Aves; Galliformes; Phasianidae. The transcript is spliced from 3 exons.
AGGCUGUUCGCUCGCCCAUGCACUGUUUGCACAGAACUCACUGGUGAAUUUAGGGAAGGUGCUGUUCUGCAUAGCAGUGAAGCAUAUCCUAAAGUCUCACUGAAAUAUAGGAGAAGACAGGAUUACAAGUCCUUCCCAAGGAGCCGGAACAGAACCCAUUAAGUUUAUCACCACUGAAGGCAAGUAAUAGGGGAAUAAUAUCUAGUUCACAAGAGAAGAUUGGAUUAAGCUUUCCAGAACAUCUUACGAGAGUUAUUUCCAUAUCACUUUGCUCUAGAGUUUUGGAAUGAAUAGCCCUAAAUAGAAGAUAGAUGCAAACAAAGAGCUCUGUUGCCUGGGCUGCUGGUGAGUGCCUGAGGAUCCCUGAUGUGCUGAAAGCAUGGUCUG